This 596-nucleotide ribosomal RNA is filed under the name Fusarium proliferatum. Its description in RNAcentral is "eukaryotic LSU rRNA". The stretch from base 217 to 370 matches the Rfam family "5.8S ribosomal RNA". Lineage: Eukaryota; Fungi; Ascomycota; Sordariomycetes; Hypocreales; Nectriaceae. The record is from RNAcentral.
CUUGGUCAUUUAGGAGGGGUAAAAGGGCGAACAAGGUCUCCGUUGGUGAACCAGCGGAGGGAUCAUUACCGAGUUUACAACUCCCAAACCCCUGUGAACAUACCAAUUGUUGCCUCGGCGGAUCAGCCCGCUCCCGGUAAAACGGGACGGCCCGCCAGAGGACCCCUAAACUCUGUUUCUAUAUGUAACUUCUGAGUAAAACCAUAAAUAAAUCAAAACUUUCAACAACGGAUCUCUUGGUUCUGGCAUCGAUGAAGAACGCAGCAAAAUGCGAUAAGUAAUGUGAAUUGCAGAAUUCAGUGAAUCAUCGAAUCUUUGAACGCACAUUGCGCCCGCCAGUAUUCUGGCGGGCAUGCCUGUUCGAGCGUCAUUUCAACCCUCAAGCCCCCGGGUUUGGUGUUGGGGAUCGGCGAGCCCUUGCGGCAAGCCGGCCCCGAAAUCUAGUGGCGGUCUCGCUGCAGCUUCCAUUGCGUAGUAGUAAAACCCUCGCAACUGGUACGCGGCGCGGCCAAGCCGUUAAACCCCCAACUUCUGAAUGUUGACCUUGGAUCAGGUAGGAAUACCCGCUGAACUUAAGCAUAUCAUAAAGCGGAGGA